Molecule: long non-coding RNA, 4095 nt
Organism: Caretta caretta (loggerhead turtle)
Lineage: Eukaryota; Metazoa; Chordata; Testudines; Cheloniidae
Source: RefSeq, a predicted model, not a curated record
AGGCUCACUUUGUGUCAUUCUGGGCCUGAUCCCUAGCUGGUGUAAAUUCUCACAGGUCCAUUCAAUGGCACUAGACCGAUUGGAUUGGGCCUUGGAUUUAUCACUGGAAAGGUCCAGAUCACUGAUGGGUGAGGAGGUUGAAGGGGAUCCUCGCUUUAUCCCUGGCAGGGGCAAAGAACUGCCUUUCUUAUCAUCAUAGGGGGAAGAGGUUUGGGACCAGUUUUGGGCCCCCCACUACAGAAAGGAUGUGGACAAAUCAGAGAGAGUCCAGCGGAGGGCAACAAAAAUUAUUAGGGGGCUGGGGCACAUGACUUAAGAGGAGAGGCUGAGGGAACUGGGAUUGUUUAGUCUGCAGAAGAGAAGAGUGAGGGGGGAUUUGAUAGCAGCCUUCAACUACCUGAAGGGGGGUUCCAAAGAGGAUGGAGCUCGGCUGUUCUCAGUGGUGGCAGAUGACAGAACAAGGAGCAAUGGUCUCAAGUUGCAGUGGGAGAGGUCUAGGUUGGAUAUUAGGAAACACUUUCACUAGGAGCGUGGUGAAGCACUGGAAUGGGUUACCUAGGGAGGUGGUGGAAUCUCCACCCUUAGAGGUUUUUAAGACCCGGCUUGACAAAACCCUGGCUGGGAUGAUUUAGUUGGUGUUGGUCCUGCUUUGAGCAGGGGAUUGGACUAGAUGACCUCCUGAGGUCUCUUCCAACCCUAAUCUAUGAUUCUAGACAUUUCUAUUGUUAAAGGCCUGAUCCUGCAGGCUUGAUUCUGGCAAUUGCUCACUGAUGCAAAAGGGAGUUUUGCCUGAGGAAGGGCUUGUUUUAAAACCCAAGGUAGAGUCUUUUUUAAAUGCCUGCUUCUUGAUUUUAAGUGCUGAAUAGAUGUGGCUCCCUCCGUUAGUCUUUCAAGUAUCCAGACAAGGCAGAGUAUUCAGAGAAACCUUUACUGUUCUGUGAAAUAUAAUGCCGGCUUAUUUUGUAUAGCCAGGGGGUUGUGCCCAGGUGCUGAGGUCAAGACCACCCUCCCUUUCCCAUCUUGCUAAAUAGGAGAGGGUCCAGAAAGUGGAGAGGGAAGUGCUGGCAUAGUAAAGAUUGAGAUCCAAUGACAUUAUGUACACCUUUCUCCUGCACUGUACAGGUCUCAAAUCCUUUACAGAGUUAAAUACCAAAUGAAGGCUUAAAUAAUGAAUAGCAGCAGCGGGAGAAAAAAGAGAAAAAAAAAGCAAGGGGGUGAAGAGAUGUUCUGGCUGAGAAAUCUAUAUAGAAAGAAUUUGAUUUGACACGUGUCAGUUGUGGAUCAUAAUCCUAACAGAAAUAUUGGGAGGAGACUGGCAAGAGAAUACAGAUCAGUUGAUUUUUGGCAUAUACAGUGCUACAGUUCCUAAGCCUAUGGGGUACAAAAGCCAACUCUCUCCUACUCCCGCCAAUCAAAAUGGAUUGUUCUGAAGCUGGAUUGCUUGUGUGAUAAAAGUGUAGGAAGCCGAUGGCUGCAGAGUAAUGCAGAAAUAGCAUAUGAGAGAGAGAAGAAAAGAAUCAAGUCGCAGAGGAGAUAAUCAACAGCAUUAAGGGAAGACGUCUAUAACCUCAGCAGCUGUGUUUAUGCUGCUUUCUGUAAUAGGCAUCAGCCUUCUAUCCCUAGGGAGAUUUUACAGCAUUAAUUUCCUCUGCACAAUUCCUGCCAGCAAGGCUUCUCUUCAGCAGCAACCUUUACCAACCCUCCACCUCCCUCUGCUACUGAGAGAGCGAGAGGGGCCAGUAGGAACUGCACCCCUCCACCUGAUCUUCCUUUGCUCUCUUGGCCCAAUGUCUCCUGUGCCCAAUGAAGCAGAUCCCGAAGUGCCCCGAAUGGACCCAAGGAUUCUGAUUUUCCUUCUCUAUGUGAUGAUCCUCCAUGAGCUGGUCAGUGGCUGGAUGGAGUAUCAGAAACAGGUAACCAAACCUAAGAAGCAAGCGGGUCCAGUCUGGUCCUCUAGCUUCACAAGAUCAAACCACUCUGGCUCCUCCAGGCGUUUGCUGCACUCGGCGCGGAGAGAGCGGUACCGGGAUUGGAGGAAACCGGGGCGAAUCAUCAGGAAGGCAUGAGGAUGCCUCGUGGGUCCUUUCUGAAGCUUGGCAUGGGAUGCUUAUUGAUCCUGAGGCACACAAUCCCUUGUGAAGUCUGCACUGUGAAGGCCACCUACCUGUCAUCUUGCAGUAGCCAGUGUGAAAGCCUCCUCGAGGCACCACAGUCUGCAUCUCUGCCUGACACGUCUCUUCCUGAGACUGACCAAGCUUCUAUUGCUCCAAGAUUGUUGAGUCGGACACAGCUGAAGAGGCAAGAAUAAGCUUCAUCCAGGGAUCGAAGUGCUGUUCCUCAGUGAGGACACACCCAGAAGAGACUCAUCACAGCCAUUGGGUGAGAUCAGCCAGGGGUGGGGUGCCGUUUAUUUUUGUCAUGCUGCAAAGAGAAGAAUGAGCUUGUCCACAUAUUUCGGAAACAUCCAUUAUUGUAGCUUUUGGGGGUGACUCUUCUUUUUCUUACCCAGGGCAAGUGGGUUGCAUUUAACUGGUAUAGAGUGAAAUUCACCCCUCUGUAGAGGGCCAGCACACUAUUUCAGUCCCACUGAAAUUCUAAUUUGAGGACUUAAAUGAUGGACAGGCAAAAUUUUCAAAAGUCAUUGCUGAUUUUUGGGUGCCUAACCUGGGACACUUUAUAGGGGCCCGAUUCCCAGGAAGUGCUGAGCACCGACCCUCUAAAAAUUAGUCUCCUUCACAGUGUCUCAAUUUGGGCAUCUAAAAAUGGCAGGACUCAGAAUUAAUCACUUGGUGAACUGUUGGCCCUCUACACAGGGAUGACUCUCACCUAUAGGGAAAAUAUAACUGUCUCUUUCUUAUACUCACCACUAUGAAAUGUAUCUGAGGCACACAGAUCAAUCUCACUGCAUGGUAUAGCACCAAAUUAGGAAUUAGUCCACCAGCUAAAAUCUAUUAAAAUGAUCUCAUAACCAGCGUAGUUCAGAUGGAUCUGAGCAGCAGUGCCUAAUGUAACAGCAGCUUUUGAAUGAACAGAGAGAUGGUGCUGAAAGAUAACGUUUCUCUUUUAGUGGAGUCUUUCUUUGACAUUAUGGUGUAGGGACAAGUCUCAGUUUUCACAUGCUGCAGUCUCACGGAGCAGAGUCCAAUUAAAAAUGGAAGAGGAUCCGUUACUAUUGGAAGGACUCUCGUAAUAAGCUUCGCACAUCCUCUAAAAACGAAUGGUGGCCUUUGUAGGUAGAGCUGGCUGCCUUAUUUGUUGAACAGAAUAUUCAGCAUGAACGUAGCUCUUUUUCUGUUUGCACCUCUUCAUCCAUCUGAUUCCUGCUCUUGGAUUCAUUACAUGGAAGGCUUCGCCGAAUACAUUUGAACAUAUGUGGUGUUGGUUUUUUAAAUUGUUCGCUUUGGCUAUCGUGGUGUGUGAUUGGCCCCUUAAGCCUCACAGGGUUGUGUCUGCUCCCUGAUUGCGUGAUUUGAAUUUUUUAACUUAGAGGAUCCAACCAAUAAGUAGCAAAUAACUCACUUUCUGGUACUGAAUUUCAAUGAAUAACCAUUCUUCCAAAGGCUGUGGUACUCUUAGAAUUUGAGGACAUUUUCAGAAAUUCCCCGUGAGUCAUGAAUAAUAAAUAACAGAACCCCUGAAGAGCAGCAGACCAAACACAGUGUGCUUUAGUAGGGGAAUUAUUAGUGAACCCCUUUUUUUCAAUUAUCCAGUCAGCUCUAGUUCUGUGGGAGAAACAUACAAUUGGAUUGUUUUUCCUUGCUGUGCGUGGUCUGCUGGCCCCUCUCUUGUCUUUCUAGUCUUAACAUGAAUUUGAUUAAGAGCAAUUAUAUAUAAAAGGUGGUUUUGCUUAAUUGUUUGCGCAAUGCAUGAUGGGGUUGGUCCUGGUUAUAAAAGCCAAGAACCUGCCCUCAGCUGAAGCCAGCAGUCCUGGAAGCUACUAAGGGUGAUGCAGUCGGACUGUCCUGAUAACUGCUUUGUUAAGGAAACAUUAAUGGGUGUGAAUACCUGGUUAUGUUGACCAUACGGUCGGUUUAUAUUCUGUGUUUACUUUUUCUGUAGAUCUUCAAAUAAACUGAUUUACAUGUAAAACAUUCA